Molecule: ribosomal RNA, 590 nt
Filed under: uncultured bacterium
Lineage: Bacteria
Description: bacterial SSU rRNA
Rfam family: Bacterial small subunit ribosomal RNA
Source: RNAcentral
CCUACGGGAGGCAGCAGUGGGGAAUCUUGCGCAAUGGGCGAAAGCCUGACGCAGCAACGCCGCGUGCGGGAAGAAGGCUUUCGGGCUGUAAACCGCUUUCAGCAGGAACGAAAAUGACGGUACCUGCAGAAGAAGGAGCGGCCAACUAUGUGCCAGCAGCCGCGGUGAUACAUAGGCUUCAAGCGUUGUCCGGAUUUAUUGGGCGUAAAGAGUUCGUAGGCGGUCGAGUAAGUCGGGUGUGAAAAUUCUGGGCUCAACCCAGAGACGCCACCCGAUACUGCUUGACUUGAGUUCGAUAGGGGAGUGGGGAAUUCCUAGUGUAGCGGUGAAAUGCGCAGAUAUUAGGAGGAACACCGGUGGCGAAGGCGCCACUCUGGAUCGAUACUGACGCUGAGGAACGAAAGCAUGGGUAGCAAACAGGAUUAGAUACCCUGGUAGUCCAUGCCGUAAACGGUGGGCACUAGGUGUGGGUUUCUAUUAACGAAAUCCGCGCCGUCGCUAACGCAUUAAGUGCCCGCCUGGGGAGUACGGUGCAAGCUAAACUCAAAGGAAUUGACGGNUUGAGAGUUGCGAGCGACGACGAGGGAGAG